AACGAACGCUGGCGGCAGGCCUAACACAUGCAAGUCGAGCGAGGACUUCGGUCCUAGCGGCGGACGGGUGAGUAACGCGUGGGAACGUGCCCUUUGCUUCGGAAUAGCCCUGGGAAACUGGGAGUAAUACCGGAUGAGCCCUUUGGGGGAAAGAUUUAUCGGCGUAGGAUCGGCCCGCGUUGGAUUAGGUAGUUGGUGGGGUAAUGGCCUACCAAGCCGACGAUCCAUAGCUGGUAUGAGAGGAUGAUCAGCCACACUGGGACUGAGACACAGCCCAGACUCCGACGGAAGGCAGCAGUGGGGAAUCUUAGACAAUGAGGGAAACCCUGAUCAAGCCAUGCCGCGUGAGCGAUGAAGGCCUUAGGGUUGUAAAGCUCUUUCAGCUGGGAAGAUAAUGACGGUACCAGCAGAAGAAGCCCCGGCUAACUCCGUG
This 433-nucleotide ribosomal RNA is filed under the name uncultured bacterium. RNAcentral's name for it is "partial 16S ribosomal RNA". It matches the Rfam family "Bacterial small subunit ribosomal RNA", at positions 29 to 507 of the family's 1533-position model. The record is from RNAcentral.